This 489-nucleotide ribosomal RNA is filed under the name uncultured bacterium. Its description in RNAcentral is "partial 16S ribosomal RNA". It matches the Rfam family "Bacterial small subunit ribosomal RNA", at positions 899 to 1397 of the family's 1533-position model. The record is from RNAcentral.
ACUCAAAGGAAUAGACGGGGGCCCGCACAAGCAGCGGAGCGUGUGGUUUAAUUCGACGCAACGCGUAUCACCUUACCAGGGUUUGACAUCCCCAGAACCCCCAUGAAAGUGGGGGGUGCCCGCAAGGGAGCUGGGAGACAGGUGUUGCAUGGCUGUCGUCAGCUCGUGUCGUGAGAUGUUGGGUUAAGUCCCGCAACGAGCGCAACCCCCGUGGCUAGUUACGUGGUUGUCUAGCCAGACUGCCGGUACAAAACCGGAGGAAGGUGGGGAUGAUGUCAAGUCCGCAUGACCCUUACACCCUGGGCGACACACACGCUACAAUGGCCGGGACAGUGGGCAGCCAAGCGGUAACGCGGAGCCAAUCCCCCAAACCCGGUCUCAGUUCAGAUCGUGGGCUGCAACUCGCCCACGUGAAGGCGGAGUUGCUAGUAACCGCAGAUCAGCAGUGCUGCGGUGAAUAUGUUCCCGGGCCUUGUACACACCGCCCGU